GAAGUCUUGGGGCUUGCUCCAAGGCUUAGUGGCGCACGGGUGAGUAACGCGUGGGAACCUGCCCUGGGAUGGGGGACAACCGCUGGAAACGGCGGCUAAUACCGCAUACGUCCUUCGGGAGAAAGGCUUCGGCCGUCCUAGGAUGGUCCCGCGUCCGAUUAGCUAGUUGGUGGGGUAACGGCCUACCAAGGCGACGAUCGGUAGCUGGUCUGAGAGGAUGAUCAGCCACACUGGGACUGAGACACGGCCCAGACUCCUACGGGAGGCAGCAGUGGGGAAUAUUGGACAAUGGGCGAAAGCCUGAUCCAGCAAUGCCGCGUGAGUGAAGAAGGCCUUAGGGUUGUAAAGCUCUUUCACCCGUGAAGAUGAUGACGGUAGCGGGAGAAGAAGCCCCGGCUAACUCCGUGCCAGCAGCCGCGGUAAUACGGAGGGGGCUAGCGUUGUUCGGAAUUACUGGGCGUAAAGCGCACGUAGGCGGCGCGUCAAGUCAGGGGUGAAAGGCCUGGGCUCAACCUGGGAACUGCCUUUGAUACUGGCGUGCUGGAGUACGGGAGAGGGUGACGGAAUUCCCAGUGUAGAGGUGAAAUUCGUAGAUAUUGGGAAGAACACCGGUGG
This 615-nucleotide ribosomal RNA is filed under the name uncultured Pseudomonadota bacterium. Its description in RNAcentral is "bacterial SSU rRNA". It matches the Rfam family "Bacterial small subunit ribosomal RNA", at positions 68 to 715 of the family's 1533-position model. The record is from RNAcentral. Lineage: Bacteria; Pseudomonadati; Pseudomonadota.